Non-coding RNA from Doryrhamphus excisus (bluestripe pipefish), 2332 nucleotides. The record is from RefSeq and is a predicted model, not a curated record. NCBI's taxonomy places the organism in Eukaryota, Metazoa, Chordata, Actinopteri, Syngnathiformes, Syngnathidae.
UCUGUGGAGGUCUAGACUAACUCACGUUUUAUGUGAGUUGAGAUACAUAUAGCUGCUUAAUUUCACUGCUGUUAAUGUUUUUAGGUCAGAAAAACGUGAUUAAAGAGCGUCAGACUUUGUGUGACUGUUUGGGGACGUUGCACUAUGGUAAAUCCAUCUGCACUCAUAGAAAGCGCAACUCCUUGUCGUCCACGUCGCUGAUUUGUAUUGAUCCACAGACUCCACUCUCAAAAUGAUGCAAGUUAAUGCCACGCUAAAAAGAGGUUCCCAAGAAGAACUCUUCCUGAUUGGUUCAUUGAUGGGUCAGUUCUUCAAGCCUCCUGGAGGUGGCGCUUCUCAAAUGAAAUAAGGGGAGUAUUCUGGACACCCGGAGAGAGAAUUGUCAUGAUGUCAUCCCUGGUGGUCACCGUGGUGACGGCGACGACAACAGACACGUCUCACCAGGGCCGUGCUUGUCUGCAGGUAAACUGCAACACACACAUUUUCAUUUUCGACUCAGUCGCUCACAGAAUAUUUCAUUCACAAAGGCGCAUUACAUGAAUAAAUAAAACUAAACACAUGAAAUUUGUUUAGUUUGGACUAUAGACUCCGUUAGCUGACCUGAUUGAAGAGAUUACAUGCUAAACAUAUCAGAGAGGUUUAUUUGUACAAGUUAGUACAAGUCAAUUAUUGAACUGUAGUAGUUUCCCAACAUUUAUUGAGGCAGGGCACGUACUUCAAAUUAAAAAAAUAUAUCUCAGGGCAAACAAAAAUGUUUUAUAAAUGGCAGCAGGUGGAUACACAGGUUAAUUAUGUACUUCCUGCCAUCGAGAAGAAGAGCAUUUCAUUGUUCUCGCUGUCACUAGACAUUGCUGUCUUAGACGAACAGAUGAACAAAGACAUAUUUAUAGUACCGUAAUCCCUCGUUUAGGUGGCAGACAGACAGUGAUGUCAGGAGUUCAGAGUUGACUUUCAGCUUGGUGUGGGUUACAGCCAUAACAGUAUCUUGUGUUUUCAUUCGGGAUUAUUGUGAGAUAAUUCCAAUUUGCAAUGAAAACCUGUUGUAGAUGUUUGUGUGCCUCACCAAACUUCACUGUAACAUUACUGACACGUAGUGACCAGUGUGGAAUAAUGAAAAAAAAUUUUGUGAAAUUGUAUCAUUACCCGUGACACACUUGGAGAUCACACGAAUGGUUUGGGAAUCAUGGAACUACAGAAGUGAAAUUAAUUAUACUCAUACAAGACAAUCAAAGUAAAAAAGUCAAAAAAUGCUAUAAUGAAUUGCGGAAUGAGCGCACGUUGUAACAUGGGAUAUUUACACAGAAAGAUACACUAUAAACCUUGCAAUCCUACUUACACUCAUUGUUCCCGAGUCACUGGCUUUUUUUUUGGAGUUGAACUUUAGCUGCCACGGUCCAAACAGUCCAAGCAGCAGCUGAAUAGUAAUUCUAUACUUGAUCAAACUUACUUAAUAUUUGUCAGAUCAUAACACGAUUGCCGCAUAAGACUUCAAAAUGUGAUACUUGCGUCCUCUUCACGACUCACGGCAUCAUGGAAAUUGAUUGGAUCUUUUGGCCAUAAAUGAGCCACAUCAUUGUUUAUGCCGCAGUGUUUAAGCUUGUGAAAGUACCAUAAAUUAUGGUAAAUAGUAUCAGGAAAUGACUAGAAUACUUAAGGUAUCGCCAUCCAUCUUAACUAUAAGCUGUUGUAGUCUAAUAAACUUCUGGGUGAGAAAAUGCGAGCAUUUCUUGGCGGGAAGCGAGGACGUCUCUCAGCACGAAUAAAUAUAUGAAUGAAUCCGUGUUUUCUCAUGCAAACACUGCCUGGCUGAUGACUUGAGCGAGAGGCGGCGGCUUAACGAGAUCACUGGAGGACGCCUGGUUUGCCCCCGCUGCCCAUUCACAGAGUGUGAGCAGCACACACACUCAUGUGUGAAAUGGACUCUUCAUACGCUUUAAGGGCUGCAUCUUAAUCCCCCACCCUCUGGAUUCCUUUAUGGGGGGGGGGUGGUGAGGGGUGGUGCAGGGGGCGUGGCCAUUGAAUCCCCUGACAGAGGUUGUGUAUCUGCUGGGAUAGAGGUGAUGAUUUCAUUAAGGACGCUUGGCUGAGCCACAAUGGCUGCACAGCAAUUCUAUGGUGUGUUUGUCAAAGUGUAACUUGCACAUAAUCUUCAUCUCAUAGACCGACCCCCCAGGAUGACCCCUCUUCUUCUUAAGAAUGAGCCAGGGUGACAAUAAUAAAAUAAUAAUUUGCUAACUUUACUAACAAGUUAGAACGUGUAGGCUAGUUGCCUUUAAUACAGGGGUGGGCAAACUUUACGACUAUAUAUAUAUAUAUAUGACUAUAUUUUACA